GAUGAACGCUGGCGGCGUGCCUAAUACAUGCAAGUCGAGCGAACGGACGAGAAGCUUGCUUUUCUGAUGUUAGCGGCGGACGGGUGAGUAACACGUGGAUAACCUACCUAUAAGACUGGGAUAACUUCGGGAAACCGGAGCUAAUACCGGAUAAUAUUUUGAACCGCAUGGUUCAAAAGUGAAAGACGGUCUUGCUGUCACUUAUAGAUGGAUCCGCGCUGCAUUAGCUAGUUGGUAAGGUAACGGCUUACCAAGGCAACGAUGCAUAGCCGACCUGAGAGGGUGAUCGGCGACACUGGAACUGAGACGCGGUCCAGACUCCUACGGGAGGCAGCAGUAGGGAAUCUUCCGCAAUGGGCGAAAGCCUGACGGAGCAACGCCGCGUGAGUGAUGAAAGUCUUCGGAUCGUAAAACUCUGUUAUUAGGGAAGAACAUAUGUGUAAGUAACUGUGCACAUCUUGACGGUACCUAAUCAGAAAGCCACGGCUAACUACGUG
Molecule: ribosomal RNA, 497 nt
Filed under: uncultured bacterium
Lineage: Bacteria
Description: partial 16S ribosomal RNA
Rfam family: Bacterial small subunit ribosomal RNA
Source: RNAcentral